GACGAACGCUGGCGGCGUGCCUAAUACAUGCAAGUAGGACGCAGUUGCGAACGGGUGAGUAACGCGUUGGUAACUGCCUAUUAGAGGGGGAUAACUAUUGGAAACGUUCGCUAAUACCGCAUACUAGUAGAUGGACCCGCGUUGUAUUAGCUAGUAGGUAGGGUAAUGGGCUACCUAGGCGACGAUACAUAGCCGACCGGAGAGGGCGAUCGGCCAGAAUGGGACUGAGACACGGCCCAGACUCCUACGGGAUGCAGCAGUAGGGAGUCGUCGGCAAUGUGGGGAACCGUGAGCGAGCAACGCCGCGUGAGUGAGGAAGGUUUUCGGAUCGUAAAGCUCUGUUGUUAAGGAAGCGGUACUUAACCAGAAAGGGACGGCUAACUACGUGCCAGCAGCCGCGGUAAUUC
RNAcentral lists this ribosomal RNA (407 nucleotides) under uncultured bacterium. Its description in RNAcentral is "partial 16S ribosomal RNA". It matches the Rfam family "Bacterial small subunit ribosomal RNA", at positions 28 to 526 of the family's 1533-position model. The record is from RNAcentral.